RNAcentral lists this ribosomal RNA (253 nucleotides) under uncultured bacterium. RNAcentral's name for it is "partial 16S ribosomal RNA". It matches the Rfam family "Bacterial small subunit ribosomal RNA", at positions 524 to 776 of the family's 1533-position model. The record is from RNAcentral.
UACGUAGGGUCCGAGCGUUGUCCGGAAUUAUUGGGCGUAAAGAGCUCGUAGGCGGUUUGUCGCGUCUGCUGUGAAAGCCCGAGGCUCAACCUCGGGCCUGCAGUGGGUACGGGCAGACUGGAGUGCGGUAGGGGAGAAUGGAAUUCCUGGUGUAGCGGUGGAAUGCGCAGAUAUCAGGAGGAACACCGAUGGCGAAGGCAGUUCUCUGGGCCGUAACUGACGCUGAGGAGCGAAAGCGUGGGGAGCGAACAGG